ACGCGAACGCUUCCGGGUCUCGCGGCGCGAGGUUUCCAGUCAUGUGAUACCAAGAUGGCGGCUCCGCGGUAGCUGGCUCUGGGUUGUGGCGUCCGGGGAGUCGCGACGGUUUCUGCUCUCUGGCCGUGGGGGCUGCCACGCCUGGAUGGUCCGUGCGGCGGCCCGUAUCCCCGCAUUGGGCACCUGUUCAGGGCUGAGGCUGUUGCCGUGGCGGUGGGUUCUCGGGAGUGCCGGUGACCUCUCUGCGGGUGCCCUGCGCCGGCUGUGGUCGCCCGAGGAGUAGAAGGGCAGCCGGCCUCCCGGGUCUUCCCUACUCGCGGAGUUCCUCAGGCCUCCGAGAGCUCUGGAGGAGCCACAUCUCUGAGGGGCUGCGGGAGCUCGAGCCCGCGGGUGUGUGACCGGCUGCCUCGUACCCCUGAGGGCGCAAAGAAGCCCGCAAGGACUGCUUCCUCCUCCAGAGGCCUGGCUCCCUCGCGUUGGCUACCCCCGCAUUCUUGCCCACUUCCUCUCAAUGUUCUCACCAUAUACCUGGAAAUAUGAUCAGCGCCCCUGACGUGGUGGCCUUCACCAAAGAGGACGAGUACGAGGAGGAGCCUUACAAUGAGCCGGCCCUGCCCGAGGAGUACUCGGUGCCGCUCUUCCCCUUCGCCAGCCAAGGAGCCAGUCCAUGGUCCAAACUGUCCGGGGCCAAGUUCUCUCGGGACUUCAUCCUUAUUUCCGAGUUCUCUGAGCAGGUGGGACCCCAGCCCUUACUGACCAUCCCCAAUGACACCAAAGUUUUCGGUACUUUUGAUCUCAAUUACUUCUCUUUGCGGAUCAUGUCUGUGGAUUACCAGGCCUCCUUCGUGGGCCAUCCCCCUGGUUCUGCGUACCCCAAACUGAACUUCGUGGAGGAUUCCAAGGUCGUGCUGGGAGACUCCAAGGAGGGGGCCUUUGCCUACGUGCACCACCUCACCCUGUAUGACCUGGAGGCCCGUGGCUUCGUGAGGCCCUUUUGUAUGGCUUAUAUCUCAGCAGACCAGCACAAAAUCAUGCAGCAGUUCCAGGAGCUCUCAGCUGAAUUUUCCAAAGCUUCAGAGUGCUUGAAAACAGGCAACAGGAAGGCAUUUGCUGGGGAACUUGAAAAAAAACUGAAAGACUUGGAUUACACCAGGACAGUGCUGCACACCGAAACGGAGAUCCAGAAGAAAACCAAUGACAAAGGCUUUUACUCAUCUCAGGCCAUCGAGAAGGCCAAUGAGCUGGCCAGCGUGGAGAAGUCCAUCAUCGAACAUCAAGACCUGCUGAGGCAGAUCCGCUCGUACCCUCAUCGGAAGUUGAGGGGGUCUGAUUUGUGCCCUGGGGAGACAGAGCACACCCAGGAUCCGCCCAGCCAGGCAGCCACUACCUCUGACCCCGAAGAGUCUGCUGACACAGACCAUUACGCCUGCAGACCCGCCUACACCCCAAAACUCAUCAAAGCAAAGUCCACCAAGUGUUUUGACAAGAAGCUGAAGACCUUGGAAGAGCUCUGUGACACCGAGUACUUCAGCCAGACCCUGGCCCAGCUCAGCCACAUUGAGCACAUUUUCAGAGGAGACCUGUGCUACCUCCUGACCAGCCAGAUCGACAGAGCACUCCUGAAGCAGCAGCAUAUCACAAACUUCCUCUUUGAAGACUUGGUAGAGGUCGAGGACAGGGGGGAAGAGAAACAGGAGAGUGCACCCCCGAAGCCCAGUCACGACAGGCCGCCUUCCAGGGCUGUAGAAGAAUGUCCAGUUCCUCAGGUGUUAAUUAGCGUGGGCUCCUACAAGUCCAGUGUGGAGUCCGUGCUAAUCAAGAUGGAGCAGGAACUUGGGGAGGAGGGGUCCAGGGAAGUGGAGGUGACAGAGGCAAGCAGUUUUGACCCCCAGGAAAACUUGGACUACCUGGAUAUGGACACGAAAGGGAGCAUCAGCAGUGGAGAGAGCAUUGAGGUUCUCGGCACGGAGAGGGCCACCUCUGUGCUGUCUAAGUCUGACAGCCAGGCCAGCCUCACGGUGCCCUUGAGCCCCCAGGUGGUCCGGAGCAAGGCUGUCAGCCACAGGACCAUCAGCGGGGACAGUAUUGAAGUCCUCGGCACCUGCCCCUCCGAGGCCCUCAUCCCCGACAACUUCAAGGCCAGUUACCCAAGUGCCAUUAAUGAAGAAGAGUCCUACGCAGGUGACGGCAGGGGAGCCAUCCACUUCCAGGCAGGCCUCAGCCCGCCGGAGCUGGGGGAGGCCGAGGAGGGCGGCUCGGGAGUCAGCCCGUCCCAGACAGACUCCUGCUGCAUUGGGAGGGAGGGUGGCACUCUGCGGGUGCCGCUGUCCACCCCGGGCCACACGCUCUCCGACGAGGACGGGGUCGUGAGUGUCCCCCCGCAGCGCUACCUGCAGAAGGACCCGGAGUUCCACGUGGACUUCUCAGUGGAAAACGCCAACGCCUCUUCCCGGGACAGCGGUUCCGAAGGCUUCCCUGCUUACGAGCUGGACCCGAGCCACCUGCUGGCUAGCCGGGAUGGCAGUAAGACCAGCCUGGAAGACCACUCCGACGCCACCAGCUACGGGAGCAGCGCCACCUCCGCCAGCUCCGACAGGACUUCCCCCUCUGCUCCUCCCACCGGCCCCUCUUCCGAGAGGCAUAAGAAGAGGGCGGGCCAGAACGCCUUAAAAUUCAUCCGCCAGUACCCGUUUGCCCACCCAGCCAUCUACUCCCUGCUCAGCGGGAGGACGCUCGUGAUCCUUGGGGAGGAGGAGGCCGUGGUCAGGAAGCUGGUGACCGCGCUGUCCAUCUUUGUCCCCAGCUACAGCGUCCAUGCCAAGCCCGUGAAGCACUGGGUCUCCUCUCCUUUGCAUAUCACGGAUUUUCAGAAGUGGAAGCUCAUUGGCCUGCAGAGGGUGGCGUCCCCUGCCGGUGCCGGCACCCUCCACGCCCUGAGCCGCUACAGCCGCUACACGAGCAUCCUGGACCUGGACCGGAAGACCCUGCGCUGCCCCCUCUACAGAGGCACCCUGGUGCCCCGGCUGGCGGACCACCGCACGCACAUCAAGCGGGGCAGCACCUACUCCCUGCACGUGCAGAGUGCGCUCACGCAGCUCUGCGCCAAGGCCUUCCUCUACGCCUUCUGCCGCCACCUGCACCUGCCCGCCCGCGGCACCGAAGCCGAGGGGCUGGCCGCCAGCCGCCAGGCCAGCUUCUUGCAGCUCAACCUGGGGCUGGUGAACGAAGACGUCAAGGUGGUCCAGUACCUGGCAGAGCUGCUGAAGCUACACUACACGCGGGAGCCUUCCGCGGCCGGCCAGCCCGUGCUCAGGUUUGACUACGUCCCCAGUUUCCUGUACAAGAUCUGAGGUCAGGCCUGGCCACUGUGAGCAAGACCCUUGUGGUAAAACACACCUGGAGCAGCCACAGUGGUUGCUCCUGCGCACGCGCGCUUGUCUGUCGGGGCCGUGUUCUGUGUCGUCAGAGUCCUGCUGUUGAGACGUGGUCCGCCACCAGCUUUGCAGCACACCACAGCGGUCAGGACCCCCUGGUGACCAAGGAGGCUUCCAGCAUCUCUCCCCCGUGGCCCU
Molecule: non-coding RNA, 3572 nt
Organism: Kogia breviceps (pygmy sperm whale)
Lineage: Eukaryota; Metazoa; Chordata; Mammalia; Artiodactyla; Physeteridae
Source: RefSeq, a predicted model, not a curated record